AGCGUACACGGUGGAUGCCCUGGCAGUCAGAGGCGAUGAAGGACGUGCUAAUCUGCGAUAAGCGUCGGUAAGGUGAUAUGAACCGUUAUAACCGGCGAUUUCCGAAUGGGGAAACCCAGUGUGAUUCGUCACACUAUCAUUAACUGAAUCCAUAGGUUAAUGAGGCGAACCGGGGGAACUGAAACAUCUAAGUACCCCGAGGAAAAGAAAUCAACCGAGAUUCCCCCAGUAGCGGCGAGCGAACGGGGAGCAGCCCAGAGCCUGAAUCAGUGUGUGUGUUAGUGGAAGCGUCUGGAAAGGCGCGCGAUACAGGGUGACAGCCCCGUACACAAAAAUGCACAUGCUGUGAGCUCGAUGAGUAGGGCGGGACACGUGGUAUCCUGUCUGAAUAUGGGGGGACCAUCCUCCAAGGCUAAAUACUCCUGACUGACCGAUAGUGAACCAGUACCGUGAGGGAAAGGCGAAAAGAACCCCGGCGAGGGGAGUGAAAAAGAACCUGAAACCGUGUACGUACAAGCAGUGGGAGCACGCUUAGGCGUGUGACUGCGUACCUUUUGUAUAAUGGGUCAGCGACUUAUAUUCUGUAGCAAGGUUAACCGAAUAGGGGAGCCGAAGGGAAACCGAGUCUUAACUGGGCGUUAAGUUGCAGGGUAUAGACCCGAAACCCGGUGAUCUAGCCAUGGGCAGGUUGAAGGUUGGGUAACACUAACUGGAGGACCGAACCGACUAAUGUUGAAAAAUUAGCGGAUGACUUGUGGCUGGGGGUGAAAGGCCAAUCAAACCGGGAGAUAGCUGGUUCUCCCCGAAAGCUAUUUAGGUAGCGCCUCGUGAAUUCAUCUCCGGGGGUAGAGCACUGUUUCGGCAAGGGGGUCAUCCCGACUUACCAACCCGAUGCAAACUGCGAAUACCGGAGAAUGUUAUCACGGGAGACACACGGCGGGUGCUAACGUCCGUCGUGAAGAGGGAAACAACCCAGACCGCCAGCUAAGGUCCCAAAGUCAUGGUUAAGUGGGAAACGAUGUGGGAAGGCCCAGACAGCCAGGAUGUUGGCUUAGAAGCAGCCAUCAUUUAAAGAAAGCGUAAUAGCUCACUGGUCGAGUCGGCCUGCGCGGAAGAUGUAACGGGGCUAAACCAUGCACCGAAGCUGCGGCAGCGACGCUUAUGCGUUGUUGGGUAGGGGAGCGUUCUGUAAGCCUGUGAAGGUGUACUGUGAGGUAUGCUGGAGGUAUCAGAAGUGCGAAUGCUGACAUAAGUAACGAUAAAGCGGGUGAAAAGCCCGCUCGCCGGAAGACCAAGGGUUCCUGUCCAACGUUAAUCGGGGCAGGGUGAGUCGACCCCUAAGGCGAGGCCGAAAGGCGUAGUCGAUGGGAAACAGGUUAAUAUUCCUGUACUUGGUGUUACUGCGAAGGGGGGACGGAGAAGGCUAUGUUGGCCGGGCGACGGUUGUCCCGGUUUAAGCGUGUAGGCUGGUUUUCCAGGCAAAUCCGGAAAAUCAAGGCUGAGGCGUGAUGACGAGGCACUACGGUGCUGAAGCAACAAAUGCCCUGCUUCCAGGAAAAGCCUCUAAGCAUCAGGUAACAUCAAAUCGUACCCCAAACCGACACAGGUGGUCAGGUAGAGAAUACCAAGGCGCUUGAGAGAACUCGGGUGAAGGAACUAGGCAAAAUGGUGCCGUAACUUCGGGAGAAGGCACGCUGAUAUGUAGGUGAAGCGACUUGCUCGUGGAGCUGAAAUCAGUCGAAGAUACCAGCUGGCUGCAACUGUUUAUUAAAAACACAGCACUGUGCAAACACGAAAGUGGACGUAUACGGUGUGACGCCUGCCCGGUGCCGGAAGGUUAAUUGAUGGGGUCAGCGCAAGCGAAGCUCUUGAUCGAAGCCCCGGUAAACGGCGGCCGUAACUAUAACGGUCCUAAGGUAGCGAAAUUCCUUGUCGGGUAAGUUCCGACCUGCACGAAUGGCGUAAUGAUGGCCAGGCUGUCUCCACCCGAGACUCAGUGAAAUUGAACUCGCUGUGAAGAUGCAGUGUACCCGCGGCAAGACGGAAAGACCCCGUGAACCUUUACUAUAGCUUGACACUGAACAUUGAGCCUUGAUGUGUAGGAUAGGUGGGAGGCUUUGAAGUGUGGACGCCAGUCUGCAUGGAGCCGACCUUGAAAUACCACCCUUUAAUGUUUGAUGUUCUAACGUGGACCCGUAAUCCGGGUUGCGGACAGUGUCUGGUGGGUAGUUUGACUGGGGCGGUCUCCUCCUAAAGAGUAACGGAGGAGCACGAAGGUUGGCUAAUCCUGGUCGGACAUCAGGAGGUUAGUGCAAUGGCAUAAGCCAGCUUGACUGCGAGCGUGACGGCGCGAGCAGGUGCGAAAGCAGGUCAUAGUGAUCCGGUGGUUCUGAAUGGAAGGGCCAUCGCUCAACGGAUAAAAGGUACUCCGGGGAUAACAGGCUGAUACCGCCCAAGAGUUCAUAUCGACGGCGGUGUUUGGCACCUCGAUGUCGGCUCAUCACAUCCUGGGGCUGAAGUAGGUCCCAAGGGUAUGGCUGUUCGCCAUUUAAAGUGGUACGCGAGCUGGGUUUAGAACGUCGUGAGACAGUUCGGUCCCUAUCUGCCGUGGGCGCUGGAGAACUGAGGGGGGCUGCUCCUAGUACGAGAGGACCGGAGUGGACGCAUCACUGGUGUUCGGGUUGUCAUGCCAAUGGCACUGCCCGGUAGCUAAAUGCGGAAGAGAUAAGUGCUGAAAGCAUCUAAGCACGAAACUUGCCCCGAGAUGAGUUCUCCCUGACUCCUUGA
This 2787-nucleotide ribosomal RNA is filed under the name Escherichia coli. Its description in RNAcentral is "bacterial LSU rRNA". It matches the Rfam family "Bacterial large subunit ribosomal RNA". The record is from RNAcentral. Lineage: Bacteria; Pseudomonadati; Pseudomonadota; Gammaproteobacteria; Enterobacterales; Enterobacteriaceae.